UCACCAACAAUUUGCCCCAUUAGAAGAUUUUGGCACCCGUCCCAACCAUCUGUGGUCAUUUCGCUUUGUUGACGGUUCCCAUCUUGAAAGAAUUGUGUUAGACAAAACAUUUCUAUCAAUAGUGUUCCCCACUUUCCCCCUUCUCCCUCGUCGCACCAGAGCACCUUAGUUUGGUUCUCGCUCCCUUUCCAUGGCUAUCUUUCGCUCCACAUAAGCAGGGACUCCCCCUACCAGGACACAUGCGAGGGCUUCGGCAGAAAAACACAAAGAGACCCCCUUGUGAUUCUCCAAAUAAGAGAGCAAUACAUGUCCCUCGACGUUUCACGCAAUUAUCCCGAUGCCGAAUCAAAACGACGACUAUCAUACGCUCUUUUAAACUUAACUUUAUUGAUUGACCCAUAAGGACCACUCCAUUUCACCUCUCUUAAUCCCUAUGUAAUUCUCCUUUUAUCUAUUCCCUCCAGUUUAGUACAAUAAUGGGUAAUGAACCAAGCAAUAUCCCAACCAAUACUAAUUUUCCGAUCAUGAAUUCUGGCAUUUCUGUCACUCCAGAUGGCCCAAAGCGCAACACAAACUACUUGCCUCUGCUGAUUCAAGUACACUCUGAAUACCCAGGACAAUCUUGAAAUAAGUGGUCCAAAUUCUCAGCGCCUCCUCCACAUAGGGGACAAGUUAUAAUAGAUAUCAAUUUCCUAACUUGCAUAUUUACUACAGUAGGUAAAAAGUUUCAAGAAAUCUGCCACAGUGUAAUUUUAAUUCUAGAAGGGAGGUUUAAGCUCCAAAGUUGUUUGUAGAAGUUCCUGUAGUUGGUCUAUAAAGCAUAAGCAUUAGGAUUAUCGGGAAAAUUUUGUAAUAGUUUAUUGGCAUUACAUACUGAAAACUCCCCCGAGGGCUCAUCACUCCAUACAAUCAGGUUAUCGUGAACUUUCAUCACCAAAGGUGUACGAAGGAUCCUAGUCGUGUCCACUUCUGGGAAGGUAUUGACUACUAACUCCUUUUUCCAUGUUUUAGUAUAAACAUUUAUAAGAUUUGCCACUUUCAAAUUUUGUAUGCAAGGAAUAGAACAAGAUAAUCUAUAGUUAUCAGGCCCCGA
Long non-coding RNA from Gossypium arboreum, 1093 nucleotides. RefSeq lists it as uncharacterized. The record is from RefSeq and is a predicted model, not a curated record. The transcript has 3 exons. NCBI's taxonomy places the organism in Eukaryota, Viridiplantae, Streptophyta, Magnoliopsida, Malvales, Malvaceae.